Non-coding RNA from Oncorhynchus mykiss (rainbow trout), 1060 nucleotides. Lineage: Eukaryota; Metazoa; Chordata; Actinopteri; Salmoniformes; Salmonidae. The record is from RefSeq and is a predicted model, not a curated record.
GGGGGAAAGGGAGGAGUACGAGUAAGUUGGAAGAAGGGAAAAAAGAGGAUAGGGCGGUGGAGCAACAGUUGGGAAGAGAGGCAGCUGAGAGGCUACGUGCUCCAGUGAACUAUUCUCCAGAACCCAUCUCAUCUAGUGAUUCAAAGCCUUUUCCUUACUGUGGUCUCGCCCACUCUGCUUGUAGCCUUGCUGUGACUGGUGGAGGAGCAUACAGCUGAAGAGUCAUACACAAAUAUGAGGCUCACUCAUCACUUCUUCAAUCAAGAUGUGAAUUUCUACCAGAUUUAACGUUUGGAAGAGUCACACCACAAUGAAUGGAUGAGAGAGACGAGCGAGAGAGCGAGAGAGCGAGAGAGAGAAUCAACACAAUCACUUCAGCGGCUGCAGUACACAUGGAUCCAGAGGAUUGAGAGGAGGAGAGGGACACACGGUGGUUUCCUUCCCCACUCCGAGGCCACGAUGCUGGGCUUAUCCCGUCGCCGGCUCCUGCCUGCUCCAGAGUUCAGCUGGAGAAGACGAUGCUAGGCAGCUAAAUCUGGAUUAACAGACCUGGGCAGACGAUUUUCAAUGCUCCUCCAAAUUCUAAGAUGAAGUUAUGGAAAGGCGCCAGUUUUGUCUUCAUGCUGUGUGCUACGUUACUGUUCCUCCUCCUCACUAGAAACAUCCUGGUUACUACUGGACCUGCAAGACUUCAACCUAGGAUGGCGUUGUCGUCAUCAUCUUCAUCAUCACCAUCAUCAUCAUCAUUAUCGUCAAAACCACUGUCACUAUCAGUGACAAAGCCAAUACCACCUCCACCACCAUUAUCUUCAGUAGCAUUAUCAUCAUCAUCACCAUUAUUAUCAUCAUCAUCAUCAUCAUCGUCUUCCUCCUCAUCCAGGAUAAAGGCUGGGCUCCACAGAACAGUGCGGGCUGUAGACACCAUCAGCUCUCUCCUCUCCCAGUGUAAGUUAAAAUAAACAGUUUUUGUUUCCAUAGUCACCGGGGUGUUAUAGAUGAGGUGGUGUGGGGAACGGUUGUCAUGGCGCUGACAGUGUGGCUUAGUGACUCCGGUUGAGUC